GUAGCCUUUCUGGUUGGGGCACAAAGUGACAUCAUCUGGUUUACCAUUGCAUUUGUAGACUAUGAUACUUCAUAGAUGACAUGUACACUUGGCGAUCACAAAGCUGUCUGGCCCAUGUUAUUCUUUGUGGAGAGAUGAGGUGUAAUUGCUUAAACAUAAAAGACUUUUGAAGCAAUACUUGGUCUAAUGCAGGUGCUGAUUACCACCAAACAAAAUGAAAUCCCUCCCAUCUCCUGAGGUGAGAUUUCUGGAAUUGUUAAAUUGAAUUCAAGGGGUUGUUUUUCAGUGUUUUGUAAUGUCUGUGACAUUUAUGUUUGAAACCAAACUGAUAACUGUCUGAUGACAUGUAGCACAGUUCCCUGCAAUAUAGCCACGCAGUAUAUAUACACAGAGAAUUUGGCCACUCAUCAUCAGCUGUGUGCAUUUGGGCACGUCACUUACUCAGAUCUCAGUUUCUGCAUCUGCACAUGGAGAGGUUAAUAACGCCCAC
RNAcentral lists this long non-coding RNA (490 nucleotides) under Homo sapiens (human). Its description in RNAcentral is "non-protein coding lnc-MYLK4-30:1". The record is from RNAcentral. Lineage: Eukaryota; Metazoa; Chordata; Mammalia; Primates; Hominidae.